This 21-nucleotide non-coding RNA is filed under the name Arabidopsis thaliana (thale cress). The record is from RNAcentral. Lineage: Eukaryota; Viridiplantae; Streptophyta; Magnoliopsida; Brassicales; Brassicaceae.
UUCGUUUCGACGCCGCUACGA